AGGGAAUUUUCCGCAAUGGACGAAAGUCUGACGGAGCAACGCCGCGUGAGUGAGGACGGUCUUCGGAUUGUAAAACUCUGUUCUUUCGGAAGAGCGUCACUGAGCUGAUAAGGCUCUGUGACCCGACGGUACGAAAGGAGAAAGCCCCGGCUAACUACGUGCCAGCAGCCGCGGUAAUACGUAGGGGGCAAGCGUUGUCCGGAUUUAUUGGGCGUAAAGGGCGCGCAGGCGGCCUUUUAAGUCAGUUGUGAAAGGUCUCGGCUCAACCGAGGAGCGGCAGCUGAAACUGGAAGGCUUGAGUGCAGGAGAGGAGAGCGGAAUUCUCGGUGUAGCGGUGGAAUGCGUAGAGAUCGGGAGGAACACCAGUGGCGAAGGCGGCUCUCUGGCCUGUAACUGACGCUGAGGCGCGAAAGCGUGGGGAGCAAAC
This 427-nucleotide ribosomal RNA is filed under the name uncultured bacterium. Its description in RNAcentral is "bacterial SSU rRNA". It matches the Rfam family "Bacterial small subunit ribosomal RNA", at positions 356 to 773 of the family's 1533-position model. The record is from RNAcentral.